GACGAACGCUGGCGGCGUGCUUAACACAUGCAAGUCGAGCGGUAAGGCCCUUUCGGGGGUACACGAGCGGCGAACGGGUGAGUAACACGUGGGUGACCUGCCCUCAGCUCUGGGAUAAGCCUGGGAAACCGGGUCUAAUACCGGAUAUGACUCCAUGACGCAUGUUGUGGGGUGGAAAGCCUUGUGCGGCUGAGGAUGGGCCCGCGGCCUAUCAGCUUGUUGGUGGGGUGANGGCCUACCAAGGCGACGACGGGUAGCCGGCCUGAGAGGGCGACCGGCCACACUGGGACUGAGACACGGCCCAGACUCCUACGGGAGGCAGCAGUGGGGAAUCUUGCGCAAUGGGCGAAAGCCUGACGCAGCGACGCCGCGUGAGGGAUGACGGCC
RNAcentral lists this ribosomal RNA (387 nucleotides) under uncultured bacterium. RNAcentral's name for it is "bacterial SSU rRNA". It matches the Rfam family "Bacterial small subunit ribosomal RNA", at positions 28 to 416 of the family's 1533-position model. The record is from RNAcentral.